AAUAACGCUGGCGGCAUGCUUAACACAUGCAAGUCGAACGAAUAGUAGCAAUACUAUUAGUGGCAAACGGGUGAGUAACACGUAGGAAUCUACCCUGUAGUACGGAACAACAGUUGGAAACGACUGCUAAUACCGCAUACGCUCCUUCGGGAGGAAAGAUUUAUCGCUAUAGGAUGAGCCUGCGCUAAAUUAGAUUGUUGGUGGGGUAAUGGCCUACCAAGUCGAUGAUUUAUAGCUGGUCUGAGAGGACGAUCAGCCACACUGGAACUUAGAAACGGUCCAGACUCCUACGGGAGGCAGCAGUGAGGAAUAUUGGACAAUGGGCGCAAGCCUGAUCCAGCAAUGCCGCGUGAAUGAUGAAGGCCUUAGGGUGUAAAGUCUUUCGGUGGGGAAGAAAUGACGGUACCCACAGAAGAAGCUCCGGCU
Molecule: ribosomal RNA, 426 nt
Filed under: uncultured bacterium
Lineage: Bacteria
Description: bacterial SSU rRNA
Rfam family: Bacterial small subunit ribosomal RNA
Source: RNAcentral